UGGGGAAUUUUGGACAAUGGGCGAAAGCCUGAUCCAGCAAUGCCGCGUGUGUGAAGAAGGCCUUCGGGUUGUAAAGCACUUUUGUCCGGAAAGAAAUCCUUGGCUCUAAUACAGUCGGGGGAUGACGGUACCGGAAGAAUAAGCGCCGGCUAACUACGUGCCAGCAGCCGCGGUAAUACGUAGGGUGCAAGCGUUAAUCGGAAUUACUGGGCGUAAAGCGUGCGCAGGCGGUUUGCUAAGACCGAUGUGAAAUCCCCGGGCUCAACCUGGGAACUGCAUUGGUGACUGGCAGGCUAGAGUAUGGCAGGAGGGGGGUAGAAUUCCACGUGUAGCAGUGAAAUGCGUAGAGAUGUGGAGGAAUACCGAUGGCGAAGGCAGCCCCCUGGGCCAAUACUGACGCUCAUGCACGAAAAGCGUGGGGGAGCAAAACAGGAUUAGAUACCCCUGGUAGUCCACGCCCUAAACGAUGUCAACUAGUUGUUGGGGAUUCAUUUCCUUAGUAACGUAGCAACGCGUGAAGUUGACCGCCUGGGGAGUACGGUCG
Molecule: ribosomal RNA, 544 nt
Filed under: uncultured bacterium
Lineage: Bacteria
Description: partial 16S ribosomal RNA
Rfam family: Bacterial small subunit ribosomal RNA
Source: RNAcentral